Molecule: ribosomal RNA, 404 nt
Filed under: uncultured bacterium
Lineage: Bacteria
Description: partial 16S ribosomal RNA
Rfam family: Bacterial small subunit ribosomal RNA
Source: RNAcentral
AUUGAACGCUGGCGGCAGGCCUAACACAUGCAAGUCGAGCGCGGCAGACGGGUGCGUAAUACCUAGGAAUCUGCCUGUUGGAGGUGGAUAGCUACUGGAACCGGUAGCUGAUACCGCAUCCUAUCGCAUUUGCCCAGAUGGGAUUAGCUAGUAGGUGGGGUAAAGGCUAACCUAGGCGACGAUCCCUAGCUGGUCUGAGAGGAUGACCAGCCACACUGGAACUGAGACACGGUCCAGACUCCUACGGGAGGCAGCAGUGGGGAAUAGUGCACAAUGGGCGCAAGCCUGAUGCAGCCAUGCCGCGUGUAUGAAGAAGGCCUUCGGGUUGUAAAGUACUUUCAGCGGGGAGGCGUUACCCGCAGAAGAAGCACCGGCUAACUCCGUGCCAGCAGCCGCGGUAAUUC